This is a long non-coding RNA of Chrysoperla carnea, 78 nucleotides long. RefSeq lists it as uncharacterized. Lineage: Eukaryota; Metazoa; Arthropoda; Insecta; Neuroptera; Chrysopidae. The transcript has 3 exons. The record is from RefSeq and is a predicted model, not a curated record.
AUUAUAUUGAUUAUUUCCGUACGUGUAGAAAAUGUUAAAAUAAUCGAAGAUAAAAAGAAUGUACUUAAAAUAGAUUUA